RNAcentral lists this ribosomal RNA (1761 nucleotides) under Saccharomyces cerevisiae (brewer's yeast). RNAcentral describes it as "SSU rRNA". It matches the Rfam family "Eukaryotic small subunit ribosomal RNA". The record is from RNAcentral. Lineage: Eukaryota; Fungi; Ascomycota; Saccharomycetes; Saccharomycetales; Saccharomycetaceae.
UCUGGUUGAUCCUGCCAGUAGUCAUAUGGUCUCAAAGAUUAAGCCAUGCGUCUAAGUAUAAGCAAUUUAUACAGUGAAACUGCGAAUGGCUCAUUAAAUCAGUUAUCGUUAUUUGAUAGUUCCUUUACUACAUGGUAUAACUGUGGUAAUUCUAGAGCUAAUACAUGCUUAAAAUCUCGACCCUUUGGAAGGAUGUAUUUAUUAGAUAAAAAAUCAAUGUCUUCGGACUCUUUGAUGAUUCAUAACUUUUCGAAUCGCUGGCCUUGUGCUGGCGAUGGUUCAUUCAAUUUCUGCCCUAUCAACUUUCGAUGGUAGGAUAGUGGCUACCAUGGUUUCAACGGGUAAACGGGGAAUAAGGGUCCGAUUCCGGAGAGGGGCCUGCAGAGAAACGGCUACCACAUCCAAGGAAGGCAGCAGGCGCGCAACAUUACCCAAUCCUAAUUCAGGAGGUAGUGACAAUAAUAACGAUACAGGGCCAUUCGGGUCUUGUAUGGAUGAGUACAAUGUAAAUACCUUACGAGGAACAAUGGGGGCAAGUCUGGUGCCAGCAGCCGCGGUAAUUCCCAGCCAAUAGCGUAUAUUAAAGUUGUUGCAGUUAAAAAGCUCGUAGUUGAACUUUGGGCCCGGUUGGCCGGUCCGAUUUUUCGUGUACUGGAUUUCCACGGGGCCUUCCUUCUGGCUAACCUUGAGUCUUGUGGCUCUUGGCGAACCCAGGACUUUUACUUGAAAAAAUUAGAGUGUUCAAAGCAGGCGUAUUGCUCGAAUAUUAGCAUGGAAUAAUAGAAUAGGACGUUUGGUUCUAUUUGUUGGUUUUCGGACCAUCGUAAUGAUUAAUAGGGACGGUCGGGGGCAUCAGUACAAUUGUCAGAGGUGAAAUUCUUGGAUUUAUUGAAGACUAACUACUGCGAAAGCAUUUGCCAAGGACGUUUUCAUUAAUCAAGAACGAAAGUUAGGGGAUCGAAGAUGAUCAGAUACCGUCGUAGUCUUAACCAUAAACUAUGCCGACUAGGGAUCGGGUGGUGUUUUUUUAAUGACCCACUCGGCACCUUACGAGAAAUCAAAGUCUUUGGGUUCUGGGGGGAGUAUGGUCGCAAGGCUGAAACUUAAAGGAAUUGACGGAAGGGCACCACCAGGAGUGGAGCCUGCGGCUUAAUUUGACUCAACACGGGGAAACUCACCAGGUCCAGACACAAUAAGGAUUGACAGAUUGAGAGCUCUUUCUUGAUUUUGUGGGUGGUGGUGCAUGGCCGUUCUUAGUUGGUGGAGUGAUUUGUCUGCUUAAUUGCGAUAACGAACGAGACCUUAACCUACUAAAUAGUGGUGCUAGCAUUUGCUGGUUAUCCACUUCUUAGAGGGACUAUCGGUUUCAAGCCGAUGGAAGUUUGAGGCAAUAACAGGUCUGUGAUGCCCUUAGACGUUCUGGGCCGCACGCGCGCUACACUGACGGAGCCAGCGAGUCUAACCUUGGCCGAGAGGUCUUGGUAAUCUUGUGAAACUCCGUCGUGCUGGGGAUAGAGCAUUGUAAUUAUUGCUCUUCAACGAGGAAUUCCUAGUAAGCGCAAGUCAUCAGCUUGCGUUGAUUACGUCCCUGCCCUUUGUACACACCGCCCGUCGCUAGUACCGAUUGAAUGGCUUAGUGAGGCCUCAGGAUCUGCUUAGAGAAGGGGGCAACUCCAUCUCAGAGCGGAGAAUUUGGACAAACUUGGUCAUUUAGAGGAACUAAAAGUCGUAACAAGGUUUCCGUAGGUGAACCUGCGGAAG